CUAGCUGGUCUGAGAGGAUGACCAGCCACACUGGAACUGAGACACGGUCCAGACUCCUACGGGAGGCAGCAGUGGGGAAUAUUGCACAAUGGGCGCAAGCCUGAUGCAGCCAUGCCGCGUGUAUGAAGAAGGCCUUCGGGUUGUAAAGUACUUUCAGCGGGGAGGAAGGGAGUAAAGUUAAUACCUUUGCUCAUUGACGUUACCCGCAGAAGAAGCACCGGCUAACUCCGUGCCAGCAGCCGCGGUAAUACGGAGGGUGCAAGCGUUAAUCGGAAUUACUGGGCGUAAAGCGCACGCAGGCGGUUUGUUAAGUCAGAUGUGAAAUCCCCGGGCUCAACCUGGGAACUGCAUCUGAUACUGGCAAGCUUGAGUCUCGUAGAGGGGGGU
Molecule: ribosomal RNA, 387 nt
Filed under: Escherichia coli
Lineage: Bacteria; Pseudomonadati; Pseudomonadota; Gammaproteobacteria; Enterobacterales; Enterobacteriaceae
Description: bacterial SSU rRNA
Rfam family: Bacterial small subunit ribosomal RNA
Source: RNAcentral